Trematomus bernacchii (emerald rockcod) is the source of this 436-nucleotide long non-coding RNA. RefSeq lists it as uncharacterized. NCBI's taxonomy places the organism in Eukaryota, Metazoa, Chordata, Actinopteri, Perciformes, Nototheniidae. The transcript is spliced from 3 exons. The record is from RefSeq and is a predicted model, not a curated record.
CAAAGAGAGCCUCAGUCUCCUGCCACCAGAUUUCUGUUUUAUAGAGAAAUGUCUACGAUGAACAGAGAAAUACCAGAGCUUGCAGGUUUCAAAGCACAGAAGUAUUAAAGGAAGAGUCAGACCAGAGUCCUGUACUACGAAGCCGGAUUUUCGCUUAGCGAGCUAACCUUAGGGAAAACUCUGGGUUUCCGGUCCUACGACGCUGGUUCACUUCUUACCGGGCUAGAUCUCCAUGGUAACUUAUGCUGAGUGGCUAACCUGCUCCGGAGCAGGUUAGGUUGCAGGCUAAGAGAUCAACUCAGUGAAAGCACCGCCUGCUGACCAAUCAGAGCUCCGUGUGCGGAGUUUAAAGCUAUCAAGUCAUAUUACAGGAGAAAGGAAAUACAGAAAAACUGCCGUUGCAGGAAUGACGGCCGGCAAAAAUCAUCGACUGUGU